UACGGAGGGUGCAAGCGUUAAUCGGAAUUACUGGGCGUAAAGCGCACGCAGGCGGCUUGUUAAGUCGUAUGUGAAAGCCCCGGGCUCAACCUGGGAAUUGCAUUCGAUGCUGGCAAGCUAGAGUAUGUGAGAGGGGGGUAGAAUUCCAAGUGUAGCGGUGAAAGGCGUAGAGAGUUGGAGGAAUACCAGUGGCGAAGGCGGCCCACUGGCACACUACUGACGCUCAGGUGCGAAAGCGUGGGGAGCAAACAGG
Molecule: ribosomal RNA, 253 nt
Filed under: uncultured bacterium
Lineage: Bacteria
Description: partial 16S ribosomal RNA
Rfam family: Bacterial small subunit ribosomal RNA
Source: RNAcentral